Molecule: ribosomal RNA, 614 nt
Filed under: uncultured bacterium
Lineage: Bacteria
Description: bacterial SSU rRNA
Rfam family: Bacterial small subunit ribosomal RNA
Source: RNAcentral
AAACUCAAAGGAAUUGACGGGGGCCCGCACAAGCGGUGGAGCAUGUGGUUUAAUUCGACGCAACGCGAAGAACCUUACCUGGAUUUGACAUCCCGGGAAUUCUUUCGAAAGAUUGAAGUGCCCUUCGGGGAACCCGGUGACAGGUGCUGCAUGGCUGUCGUCAGCUCGUGUCGUGAGAUGUUGGGUUAAGUCCCGCAACGAGCGCAACCCUUAUCUUUAGUUACCAGCAACUCGGUUGGGGACUCUAAAGAUACUGCCCCGGUUAACGGGGAGGAAGGUGGGGAUGACGUCAAGUCCUCAUGGCCCUUAUGUCCAGGGCUACACACGUGCUACAAUGGGCUGCACAAAGAGUCGCAAGACCGCAAGGUUUAGCUAAUCUCAAAAAUCAGUUCGUAGUUCGGAUUGGAGUCUGCAACUCGACUCCAUGAAGCUGGGAUCGCUAGUAAUCGUGGAUCAGCAUGCCACGGUGAAUACGUUCCCGGGCCUUGUACCGCCUCCCGUCACACCAUCGGCCGCCAGUGUGCUGGAAUUCGCCCUUAGAGUUUGAUCCUGGCUCAGUGAAGUCGUAACAAGGUAGAGUUUGAUCCUGGCUCAGGUGAAGUCGUAACAAGGUA